RNAcentral lists this small RNA (268 nucleotides) under Microtus ochrogaster (prairie vole). RNAcentral describes it as "7SK RNA (ENSMOCG00000003367.1)". It matches the Rfam family "7SK RNA", at positions 1 to 257 of the family's 331-position model. Rfam says of the family: 7SK was discovered as an abundant small nuclear RNA in the mid-70s but a possible function has only recently been suggested. Two independent studies have found that 7SK RNA binds the CDK9/cyclin T complex (known as elongation factor P-TEFb). Lineage: Eukaryota; Metazoa; Chordata; Mammalia; Rodentia; Cricetidae. The record is from RNAcentral.
AGAUAUGAGGGUAAUGUGACUAUGACAUCUGUCAUCUCACUGGUCCCCAGUGUUGAUUCAGCUGAUCUGGCUGGGAGAUAAAUAUCCUCCUACUCUCACCGCCCCUCACGUCCCCUUCCCAAGCUUCACGCUCCAUUGACGAUGACCUUCUCCAGUAGAGAAGGACCAUCCUUCAGGCAAGCGUGUACAAAUAGCUGCACGCCUCUGUUUGACCCUCCAGACAAGCCCUCGGGGUCAAGUGCUGCCCAGCCCAGCCUAACUGAGAGAG